Molecule: ribosomal RNA, 1186 nt
Filed under: Bacteroides fragilis
Lineage: Bacteria; Pseudomonadati; Bacteroidota; Bacteroidia; Bacteroidales; Bacteroidaceae
Also listed under: 1 other name
Description: bacterial SSU rRNA
Rfam family: Bacterial small subunit ribosomal RNA
Source: RNAcentral
AGAGUUUGAUCCUGGCUCAGGAUGAACGCUAGCUACAGGCUUAACACAUGCAAGUCGAGGGGCAUCAGGAAGAAAGCUUGCUUUCUUUGCUGGCGACCGGCGCACGGGUGAGUAACACGUAUCCAACCUGCCCUUUACUCGGGGAUAGCCUUUCGAAAGAAAGAUUAAUACCCGAUAGUAUAAUGAUUCCGCAUGGUUUCAUUAUUAAAGGAUUCCGGUAAAGGAUGGGGAUGCGUUCCAUUAGGUUGUUGGUGAGGUAACGGCUCACCAAGCCUUCGAUGGAUAGGGGUUCUGAGAGGAAGGUCCCCCACAUUGGAACUGAGACACGGUCCAAACUCCUACGGGAGGCAGCAGUGAGGAAUAUUGGUCAAUGGGCGUUAGCCUGAACCAGCCAAGUAGCGUGAAGGAUGAAGGCUCUAUGGGUCGUAAACUUCUUUUAUAUAAGAAUAAAGUGCAGUAUGUAUACUGUUUUGUAUGUAUUAUAUGAAUAAGGAUCGGCUAACUCCGUGCCAGCAGCCGCGGUAAUACGGAGGAUCCGAGCGUUAUCCGGAUUUAUUGGGUUUAAAGGGAGCGUAGGUGGACUGGUAAGUCAGUUGUGAAAGUUUGCGGCUCAACCGUAAAAUUGCAGUUGAUACUGUCAGUCUUGAGUACAGUAGAGGUGGGCGGAAUUCGUGGUGUAGCGGUGAAAUGCUUAGAUAUCACGAAGAACUCCGAUUGCGAAGGCAGCUCACUGGACUGCAACUGACACUGAUGCUCGAAAGUGUGGGUAUCAAACAGGAUUAGAUACCCUGGUAGUCCACACAGUAAACGAUGAAUACUCGCUGUUUGCGAUAUACAGUAAGCGGCCAAGCGAAAGCAUUAAGUAUUCCACCUGGGGAGUACGCCGGCAACGGUGAAACUCAAAGGAAUUGACGGGGGCCCGCACAAGCGGAGGAACAUGUGGUUUAAUUCGAUGAUACGCGAGGAACCUUACCCGGGCUUAAAUUGCAGUGGAAUGAUGUGGAAACAUGUCAGUGAGCAAUCACCGCUGUGAAGGUGCUGCAUGGUUGUCGUCAGCUCGUGCCGUGAGGUGUCGGCUUAAGUGCCAUAACGAGCGCAACCCUUAUCUUUAGUUACUAACAGGUUAUGCUGAGGACUCUAGAGAGACUGCCGUCGUAAGAUGUGAGGAAGGUGGGGAUGACGUCAA